GGCACAGCCCUUGCUGCACUUUCGCAAAGGGUGAUCCAACGGCGGAUCGCCUACCGACAAUGGCGUCGC
RNAcentral lists this non-coding RNA (69 nucleotides) under unclassified sequences. RNAcentral describes it as "narK RNA". It matches the Rfam family "narK RNA". The record is from RNAcentral.